Molecule: ribosomal RNA, 253 nt
Filed under: uncultured bacterium
Lineage: Bacteria
Description: partial 16S ribosomal RNA
Rfam family: Bacterial small subunit ribosomal RNA
Source: RNAcentral
UACAGAGGGUGCAAGCGUUAAUCGGAUUUACUGGGCGUAAAGCGCGCGUAGGUGGUUCAGUAAGUUGGAUGUGAAAUCCCCGGGCUCAACCUGGGAACUGCAUCCAAAACUGCUGAGCUAGAGUACGGUAGAGGGUGGUGGAAUUUCCUGUGUAGCGGUGAAAUGCGUAGAUAUAGGAAGGAACACCAGUGGCGAAGGCGACCACCUGGACUGAUACUGACACUGAGGUGCGAAAGCGUGGGGAGCGAACAGG